Molecule: long non-coding RNA, 428 nt
Filed under: Salmo trutta (river trout)
Lineage: Eukaryota; Metazoa; Chordata; Actinopteri; Salmoniformes; Salmonidae
Description: lncRNA (ENSSTUG00000040422.1)
Source: RNAcentral
GCUGGAAGUUUGGAGGGGUGUUUGGUCGUGCCGGGGCGUUCCCGACAGAUUGUGUCCGUCCCGUCGCCGCCCCUGACUUCCUGUCCCUCCCGGCCGACCGCAGGGCGGAGCUUAAAGGAGGAGCGGGGCGUGUUGCCAUGACGUCAGCUAUGGCUGUCGCCGUGGCGUCCAGCGCGGCCGCUCACGAGAUAGAUCCCACCCUGGAGGGGUUUGAUGAGGUCGUGGAGGUCGAUGAGGUCGUUCUGGACACGCAGUAUGACAUGGUGGAGUUCGCAAAGAGAUAUUACAGACCAGCUGCCAAGGGUGCCUCUGUGAAGUCCAAGAAGCCCAAAGAUACCAGAGAUCCCUUUGAAAUGGUCAGGUUCUCCAAGGUAACACUUUAUAACACAUUAUAACACAUUAUAACACUUUAUAAUACAUUAUAACAC